UUUGUUAGAUAGCUGUAACAUGGGCUGACUUCAAGAUAAAACAUUAUAUGGAAUUAAUCACGAUAUUUAAGGAGAAAAGGUGUGUUUGGAAGCACUCUGACGCAACCACCUCAACUCCGUCCAUUAAAGGCGGAAGCCGCAGCCAUCAGAUAGGGUGAACCGACCAUAGACAUCCUAUUUAAAGGCUAGACGUCUCAUGGCGCACUCACUUCCGGCAUCACCGGUGGCCAUCUUAUCACAGGCAGGCUUCCUGUCGGGCUCUGUGGUACCUAAUAUAAGGUUCAGCCAGGACCACUUGGAGCUUCUCUUCAACUCCAUCAGAGUAUCUGGUAGGGUUCAUAAUUUAUAUUUACCAGCCGCAACACUAAGUGACUUGUAUUGUUUUCAGUUUGUCGGUCCAUAUGUUUUUUUACUUUUGGUAACAUGUGUUUUCUGCAGACAUACACCCUAACCCUAAGACAUACACAAUACCUGGAAGUGUCGCAAACCAUUUUGAGUAUUUAGAAAAAUGCCUGUGUUUGUCUAUUUGUUUGCAGAACUUAUCAUCACUGAUACAGUCUGAAUUUUAUGAUAAUGUCAUUCAACCUAUUUUAUGUGGAAAGAUCAUUCAGGGGUGGCUAGUUCUAAUUAGUAUUUUUUUGUAAAAAUGUUUUAAGCAUAAAACAUUUUAAAGCAUGUAUUGAAUAUCUGUGUACAAUUCUUUUAUAUAUUUAUUUUCCUUAAACGAAUAACAACCCUAAUGCCAGCCAGUUAAAAGUACAUCUUUAGGAUGUAAAGCUGAUGGCCCAGUGUGGGGUUGUUAAACCAUGCAGAGGCAAUGUGACGGCACAGGAUGACACAGAGUCCCUACCAGUUGUCAUCGACACCUCUACAAGCCUGUCAGCUGUAGAUGUGUCCUCUGCAGCAGGAGGAGAAGAUCUUCCAUCCCCGUUUGCUGACAUUCCUGCCCUAGUACAUGAUCACAGCUACCUUCCCGUCCACUUCGAUGGUCUUGUGGACAACGCUCUCAUGUACAUUUCAGGUGAAGGCUAACUGAAAGUCGAUUUUUCCCUAUAACCAAAAGUGCCAAUAGUCACAAUCUGGGGAACAAUCUCAUGAUUGUCCAAAAAGGGAAGUGUUCCCUUAAUUUCCCCAUGCUUAUUAAUGAUUAUUGUUAUUAGUUAUGAUAUUACUAACUAAAAUUUCAGGAUUUGUUGUGCAACAGGCUCUGAAGAAGCUGUCGUGUGAUGUCUGCCGUGCAAGCCUGGUGACAUGCUGCAUCUGCCAUCAAGGACCAGAGCUACCACAUGCUGAAUUUAAAAACAAUGGAGCUCUGGUGAUUCCAUCAGAGGGAACCAUGAGUUUCAUCAGGGCAGCAGAGUGGGUCAUUCGGCAGUCAUCAGGCAGUACCAGAUGAUCACAGCCCAUCAAACUGCUUGAGGUUGUUUACAUUGUCUGAAAAAGGAUCGGUUCAGAGGAUGUUUGUGUUGGGAUAGACAUCCACCACCAUAGGCUGUUAAAAAUAAUUCUGUCCCUGUUUUUUAAGUUAAGGCUGCACCACAUCGCCAGAAUUACAAUCCUCAGCUUACAGAGCAACAACAUGUGACAGAAAUUUAAUAAAACUGUCCUUUUCAAAGGGCAUUAGCCCAAGGUAUGUGUUUUCAAGGUACUGUCCUCUUUUACUUCAACAGUAGUGUAGUGCUCUCUACAGCAUUUAUUUAUUUGUGUAUAUUUAAAUGAUUUAUUUAUAUUGUAAAGGGGAAUCAUGUACCUAUUUUUUGUGUGCAAAUAAAU
This is a long non-coding RNA of Esox lucius (northern pike), 1773 nucleotides long. NCBI's taxonomy places the organism in Eukaryota, Metazoa, Chordata, Actinopteri, Esociformes, Esocidae. The record is from Ensembl.